Molecule: long non-coding RNA, 845 nt
Organism: Phyllostomus discolor (pale spear-nosed bat)
Lineage: Eukaryota; Metazoa; Chordata; Mammalia; Chiroptera; Phyllostomidae
Exons: 2
Source: RefSeq, a predicted model, not a curated record
UAGGUUUUGGGGGGGUUGUACUAUAUGAGCAAGCUAAUUACUCUCUAUUCAAAGCGGAUUUAGUAACCCUUUAGGAAACUUUUUCUAUAACCUUUUAUAAAUCCACUUUCCAGAUUUUGAGAUUGCACAAAUGUGUCACCCUUAAGAGGGUUGAGUUUUUUAAUUUGGGGGUAUUUUGUUCAUGUCACCUUUACACUGUAAUAUGAAAUUGGGAACUGGGCCAAAGAAGAAGAGCAGAGGAGAAAAUCAGAAAAGGGUACAGAAGGCUACAGGUACUAUGAAAACUUGGUGGAAAAGGAUAAUUAACGAAGUAAGUUCUGUUGAGUAUUCCACCGUUUUGAUUGGGGAGGUACAUUUUUAAGGAUUUAGUUGGGGUGGGGUUUUUCGUCCUUUUUUUUUUUUCCUGGAUUUGCAUGUGUUUCUCUUUAUUUCCUCUUUUCUCAUCCAUCAUACCCAAAAUGUCUGGUUGUGCUCAGUGGGAACAUAAUUAAGACAAACAUAAACCGAGAUCUUGGAAAGAUUUGUUUCAAAAUUGUUUAUUUGUGAGGAGAUUGAAGAAUAGCAGGACUGUGGAAUCUUCUGGUGCUUCAGAUUUGCGCCUUUUUUCUCUGGUUGCAUUCUGGAGUCCCUUGCGCGCCCUGGGCCCUUUGGAGGCCAGCGGGCGGCGGGUCCGCCAUUUUACCUUGUCCAAGGCGGGCGCGCUCUGGUUAAGUCUCGGGGGUUAUCCUGCAUUGUCUUGGUCUCCCUGGCCUGUCUGUUUUUAUUUCAGAAAUACUUUACCAUAUGUGGUUACACUGAACUCUGUGCCCCCUUCCAUCUUCUUUAAUGUGCAUAGUUUAAUUUUU